Molecule: long non-coding RNA, 4806 nt
Filed under: Sus scrofa (pig)
Lineage: Eukaryota; Metazoa; Chordata; Mammalia; Artiodactyla; Suidae
Description: lncRNA (ENSSSCG00030008518.1)
Source: RNAcentral
GUAGAUCCUUAACCUGGUGCACUACAAUGAGACUCCAUAAAGCACUUUGUUACAGAUAAACACUUCCCACUUCACAUUUUCCCAGUAAAUAUAAUCCACUCUGUGUUUUACCGGAUAUAAAUUCAUUGAGCAGUUAGGUACUUUAGAGAAUGGAUUCAGUGGCAUAGUGUCUGAUGUUGAAUAACUUCAGGGUAUCCUGAUUGUGUUUGUUACAGGAAUCUGAAUAUAUUAAAAAAAUUAACAGAACUGUAUACCAAAAAAUGGUUAAUUUUACUGUAUGACAAUUCAAACGAUAAAGUUAACUUCUAAAAAAAGAGUUCAAGAUGAGAGUUCCUAUCGCAGCUCAGUGAUUAACAAAUCCGACUAAGAACCAUAGGGUUGCAGGAACUCCCCAAAAAAGAGAAAUUUCAAGCCUAGUAAACCUUUCCACAACAUGAACUUCUUAAAUCCUCAAAACACGAGAAGACUCUCCUAGAAGUUCCUAGUUGGGAGUAAAUAUUUCCCUCAGCUAUUAGUAAAAAUAAUUUUUAAAUUAUGUUUGCAACACAGAAUAAGACUGGAAGGAAACUUAAAGAAUCAUUUGAUUACAUAAGAGUAAAUAAAGCUAUUUAAUCAAAGCUUUCAAAUCUCUUCUCAGAGAUCUCCAAACACAGAGAAUCCACAAUGGCCACCAGUAAAUGUGUUUCUGUGUUUUACCACUGGUUUGGUAAGUUGGGGAUGUGAGUCUAUGUGUUCUGCUGAAAAGCUCCUAUGUUAAGUUUUUUUCAUUGUCCCUGAUCUCAUAAAGAAGGCAUGGACAGAGAGACAUUAAUUGGGUUAUCGCUUUAGCCAUUCUUCUUCAAGUUCAAUGAACUUAGCCUUUAACAUGUGCUAUGCUCUCAGAAGAAGUGCCCAUGAGCUAUUUCUAUCUCUUUCUGUUCACUUGGGUUCCAUACAUCCUUUUUUUUUUUUUUUUUUAGGGCCGUACCCACAGCAUAUGGAGGUUCCCAGGCUAGGGGUCAAAUCGGAGCUACAGCUGCCUGCCUACGCCACAGCCACAGCAAUGCCAGAUCCGAGCCUUGUCUGCUCCUUACACCACAGCUCAUGGCAACAGAGGCCAGGGAUUGAACGCACAUCCUAAUGGAUCCUAGUUGGAUUCAUUUCUGCUGUGCCACAAUGGGAACUCCCCUUCCUUUGUAUUUUAAAGAACAGUGUCUAAAGUAGGUCCCAUCCUUUUGUUAUUCUCAACCACAGUUCCAACGGUUGAGUGUCUCCUGGGAUAUGCAUGCUCUGUUCCAUUUCUUUCUUUUUUUAAACAGACCCAGAGUCCCAGAAGAAGUUAGAUGUUGUGCUUACAAACUGCAUACACAUGGGCAUCAUGGAAGUGCAAAACUCCAAUAAAGAAAUAAGCACAUGGUUUCUUAGUUCAUUUUUUAUGUUAAUGAUGAAAGUGCAGGUAAGAAAAUAAGAACUAGCCUUAAGGACAUAUAAGUGAUGGAAAGAGAAGGAAAAUUCUAGGUGGAGCCCAGAGAAGUUAUCAUUCUCUUCCUAUCAACAUUGGGUGGAUGUGCAGGCCCCUUGCUUUAUAGCAGCAGAACAAAAUAAAAUGACUGAUGAUCAAAGAAACUCACAGAUGCCUACAGAAUUAAAUUAUCAACCCACUUUGACAUUUUGCAAGUAUAAACAGAAACAGAAAUAACUAGAGGUGUAGAAAUAGUUGAAGAAGCCCCUCAACAUUAAAUUCUAAACUUCAAAUUUGAAACACCUAGAGAUUGGGGUUUCUCUGUAAUCUAUAAAUCAGCCUUGAUUCAAAGAAAUAGCCAGGCUGGCAUGGGGGAGCAACUUUAGAUCUGGCCAGCACAGGACCUGGGGAGGCUCAGUAGAGACCCACUAUCUGUUAAUAAGGAAGAAGACCCAAAACAGAGCCAGGACAAAUAAUUCUGUCAUUUUACUGUCAAAAGUGUCCAACCAUUCUUUAUUGUGAAAAGGAUACAUAAUUAAGCUGUAUCUUUAUAUUAUUAUUUUUUUUUUACUAUUUGGCAUAUUAUUCAUUCCCAGUGAUGUUUCAUUUCUCCUCAAAUGAUUCUUUUGCAACCUUUAGAAAGCCCUGCAAUUUCCUUUUCAUUUGGCCGAACGUGGCAGACACAGGAGGGAGAGCUUCUAAAUCCUGUUGCUCAGAAUAUGGCUUUUUUUUUUUUUUUUUUUUUUUUUUUUUUUGUCUUUUCAGGGUCGCACCCACUGGAAAUGGAGGUUCCCAGGCUAGGGGUCUAAUCGAAGCUACAGCUGCCAGCCUACACCAGAGCCACAGCAACGCCAGAUCUGAGCCACGUCUGUGACCUAUAGCACAGCUCAUGGCAAUGCCUGAUCCUUAACCCACUGAGUAAGGCCAGGAAUCGAACUCAAAACCUCGUGGUUCCUAGUUGGAUUCCUUUCUGCUGCGCCACAACGGGAACUCCCAGAAUAUGUUUAAAAAAAAAAAAAAAGCAGGACCCCAGACAGGUGUGUAACUGUUUGAAUGGGCUAUCUCUUAUACAACUAGGAAUAAGACCUACUUGGAAGAAGUUUUGCUCUAGAAACUGUUGAUGCUCUUGACUUAUUGAGGGGAGUUCCAUAAAAUGGCCAUUACCAACUGUAUAAGACAAAACUCGUGUUAGCUCGAAGGUUAGUCCCUGUUUUAAAAUCCCAAAAAAGAUAAACCCUAUUAUGGGCCAUUUCCACUUUCCCCACUGCUUCCCUGACAAGAGGUAAUGUGGGUCUGAGGAGGAAACUGAAGAUUCAUGGCCCAAAUAGAGCAGAAGUCUUGUCUUGUGUAACUGCCCAAAUGCUAAUACAAACUCAUUGUUGCUCAAUUUGUUCUUUAAAAGCUGUGCUUUAUUCUAUUAACUUUGAUUUGCCCUCUUAGCUUCUGUCAUUUUUCCAUACUGGACUGUCCUGGCAAUCCUCCUCACCUUUCUGUCUGGGUUUCAGUCUCUGACAGGGGCUCUGUGCCUAGGUCUCCCUGCCAGGAUCCAUCUGGCCCAUCGGUAACUAACAGUCAUCUUAGCCUUGUCCAGUGGUGAUAGCUUCACCCGUAGAUUUAACUGAGACAAAACUGAACAACUUACCAUAAAUAUCGGAGUCAAGAAAAAAUUAUUAGGAGACUAGGCGUACAUAAGUUUAGAUAAAAACAGAGAAGGCAGGACGACAGUGUGGUCCAAGUAAUUUUCUCUGUGCAAAGAUGCCUUCUAUUUAGUAUAACUAAACACAUUACUUCUGGGGAAAAAAAAAAACAACAACAAAAAUUCACACUCCAAAAAAGGGAGAAAAACUAGUAUUGAGAGCAAUUAUGAGUAUGACUUAAAAUGUCACUUUUCAUCUGUUGUACAGGAGAGUAAAUAUCAUGAAAACUUAACCAUGAUAAGGAAAAAAAAACACUUAACCAUGAUGAAAUAUUUGUCAAACAGUAUUUGUUCCUAUAUUAAGAAAUUAAUACCCACAUGCACAACUUUGAGUUGAUAGAAACUAAAAACUUAAGGUAAUAGAAUUAAGGAUUUCAUUUUCCUUUUUAGAGUUUUAUAUAUUUUUCAAAUUUUUUGGAAAGGCGUUUUGGAAAUAGAAAAAAAAAAAAGGUCUAAAGCUAAAAACUCUUUAACGUAAUUUUUCUUACUGAAUAGUUAUUAUCCUGUUCAUGAGACAUGACCAUAAUAACUCAAAGCCACUAUUUUUUUUUUUUUAAAUUUGGUUGAACCUGCAGCAUGCAGAAAUUCCCAGGCCAGGGACUGAACCCAUGCCACUGUAGCAACCACAACCACUGCAGUGACAACAUUGGAUGCUUAAACCACUGAGCCAUAUGGGAACUCCUCAAAGUUACUAUUGACUUCAUCAGGAUGAGGCUAGCUAUGUGCUUAAGUAAUAAUUGAAGUAAGGAUGAGAAAUAAAUUUUACGGAAAGUAAGAAUAAUACUAUGCCUUAUCUAUAAGAUCCCAAACCAGAAUAUAUUUGAAAAUAUUUGAGUGACUGACUUUUUUUUUUUUUACUUUUCGUCUUCAUUAGUGAUACUAUGCAGCUAUCUAUAGUUUGGUAUCUCUAACCACCAGAUAACAGUUGUGAUGACCAAAAAUGCCUCUAGACACUGCCAAAUGUCCUCUGGGGUAGGAGAGAAAUCACCCCUGGUUGAGAUCCACUGCUCCAUAGUAAGUUAUUACUACCCAAAUAUUUUGAUUAUCUUUUUAACUGUUACCUAUUACCAUGGCCACAUUAAUCAUGCCAGGAUUCACAAUGAUCACAAUGAUUAAAGAAAUUACAGAUUUACCCUGGCACUCAGGAUUACUAUCAUACUAUUAGACAGAGCCUGGGUAUGUUAAAGGAAAAAAAUUCCUAUAAUUAGAAAAAUAAAAGAUUACACAAAAAGAGCAAAGACUUUGGUUGUACACUGGAAUGAAAUUACAUUCAUUUGUUGAAGUGGUCUGAACGACUCAAAAAUACACAGCAGCUGUUAUUCACUUAGCUACAACAUAGCUGAUAUUAACACACAUUUUGAAAAGGAGGGCUGUUGCUUCAUAGAACAAUUCUGCUGAUAUUUAAGAAGCAAUGUCAGUGACUCAUCAGACAGUCAGGCAUGACUUCUUCCCCUUCAAUGUUCCUUAUCAUUUUUCUCAUUGCCUUUUUUACUUCAACACAUGUUCAAUGGCAGCCACAAUCAAAAUUCUGUUGCAAAAUUAAGUAUCUUACUUUUAUUUCACAUAAAUAAAUUAUAAAUGAUCAUAGUUAAAAACAUAAAUAAUAAAUACUCUCUGCAUCACCAUUCUUCUAGCUUGUAGUGAUUUUUAUUUCAUCACUGUGAAUGGU